GGAGCAUGUGGUUUAAUUCGAUGCAACGCGAAGAACCUUACCAUCCCUUGACAUCAUCAGGAUUUGUUAGAGAUAACUUAGUGCCUUCGGGAACUGGUUGACAGGUGCUGCAUGGCUGUCGUCAGCUCGUGUCGUGAGAUGUUGGGUUAAGUCCCGCAACGAGCGCAACCCUUAUCUUUAGUUACCAGCACGUUAAGGUGGGGACUCUAAAGAGACUGCCGGUGACAAGCCGGAGGAAGGUGGGGACGACGUCAAGUCAUCAUGGCCCUUACGGGAUGGGCUACACACGUGCUACAAUGGGCAGUACAGAUGGUCGCGAAGCCGCGAGGUGGAGCUAAUCUAAGAAAGCUGUUCGUAGUCCGGAUUGGAGUCUGCAACUCGACUCCAUGAAGUUGGAAUCGCUAGUAAUCGCAGAUCAGAAUGCUGCGGUGAAUACGUUCCCGGGCCUUGUACACACCGCCCGUCACACCAUGGGAGUGGGUUGCAAAAGAAGUGGGUAGACUAACCUUCGGGGGGUCGCUCACCACUUUGUGAUUCAUGACUGGGGUGAAGUCGUAACAAGGUA
RNAcentral lists this ribosomal RNA (565 nucleotides) under uncultured bacterium. RNAcentral's name for it is "bacterial SSU rRNA". It matches the Rfam family "Bacterial small subunit ribosomal RNA", at positions 934 to 1498 of the family's 1533-position model. The record is from RNAcentral.